This 434-nucleotide long non-coding RNA is filed under the name Triticum aestivum (bread wheat). Its description in RNAcentral is "long non-coding RNA (TAES_LNC008379)". The record is from RNAcentral. Lineage: Eukaryota; Viridiplantae; Streptophyta; Magnoliopsida; Poales; Poaceae.
AAAAAGAAACAAGAGCACAAAUUAUGCCACCAAUUAGUAAAUAUAAAUAAAUGAGAUAAGAAAAUGUACACUCAAGAAAAGGUGAUGUGUUCAUCAAUCCAUCACAUUGGACUUCAUCUCGUGUUUUUACUACCCACUCAAGAAAAGAUUGUGUUCAUGAAUCCAUCAGCCAACAUCUUAUUUUAUUCUAAUAGGUUGCCUAAUUCAUAUAUUCGCAUGACGCAAGACCUUAUUUCAGACUGGUGGGCAAUUCUGCUGACACUCAAGUCUGUGGUCAAAACACGGUACGGACGGCACACUGAGGCAGCAGUAGCACCCUUUCAAGCCCCAAUAUUCACCUUUGGUUUUACAAUCCCUAAGAACACAAAAUUUCACCGUAACUUUGCUCUCAUUUAAUGACGAGCCUGCCAUAGUUGCGUUGGCCAGGCCAUCUU